GCAGAUAUGGCCGAUUGGUUAAGGCGACUGACUCGAAAUCAGUUUCCAUCUUGGAGCGUAGGUUCGAAUCCUACUAUCUGCG
Molecule: transfer RNA, 82 nt
Filed under: Daphnia pulex (common water flea)
Lineage: Eukaryota; Metazoa; Arthropoda; Branchiopoda; Diplostraca; Daphniidae
Description: tRNA-Ser
Rfam family: tRNA
About the family: Transfer RNA (tRNA) molecules are approximately 80 nucleotides in length. Their secondary structure includes four short double-helical elements and three loops (D, anti-codon, and T loops).
Source: RNAcentral